GACGAACGCUGGCGGCGUGCUUAACACAUGCAAGUCGAACGGAAAGGCCCUGCUUUUGUGGGGUGCUCGAGUGGCGAACGGGUGAGUAACACGUGAGUAACCUGCCCUUGACUUUGGGAUAACUUCAGGAAACUGGGGCUAAUACCGGAUAGGAGCUCCUGCUGCAUGGUGGGGGUUGGAAAGUUUCGGCGGUUGGGGAUGGACUCGCGGCUUAUCAGCUUGUUGGUGGGGUAGUGGCUUACCAAGGCUUUGACGGGUAGCCGGCCUGAGAGGGUGACCGGCCACAUUGGGACUGAGGUACGGCCCAGACUCCUACGGGAGGCAGCAGUGGGGAGUAUUGCACAAUGGGCGGAAGCCUGAUGCAGCAGCGCCGCGUGCGGGAUGACGUCCUUCGGGUUGUAAACCGCUUUCGCCUGUGACGAAGCGUGAGUGACGGUAAUGGGUAAAGAAGCACCGGCUAACUACGUG
Molecule: ribosomal RNA, 468 nt
Filed under: uncultured bacterium
Lineage: Bacteria
Description: partial 16S ribosomal RNA
Rfam family: Bacterial small subunit ribosomal RNA
Source: RNAcentral